This 421-nucleotide ribosomal RNA is filed under the name Samia ricini (Indian eri silkmoth). RNAcentral's name for it is "partial 12S ribosomal RNA". Lineage: Eukaryota; Metazoa; Arthropoda; Insecta; Lepidoptera; Saturniidae. The record is from RNAcentral.
UUAAAUUAGGAUUAGAUACCCUAUUUUUAAAAAAUUAAAGAAAUAAUACUAAAAGAGUAAGUAAAAUUUUAUUGAAACUUAAAUAACUGGGCGGUAUUUUAGUUCAUUCAGAGGAAUCUGUUUAUUAAUUGAUAAUCCACGAAUAAAUUUACUUAAUUUAUUAUUUUGUAUAUCGUUGUUUAAAAAAUAUUUUUUAAUAAUUAAUAAUAUUUUAAAUUUUAAAUAAAAAAUUAAAUCAGAUCAAGAUGCAGAUUAUAAUUAAGAAUAUAAUGGAUUACAAUAAAUUUAUUUAUUAUGAAUUUUAAGUAGAAUAAUUUAAUUGAAAGUGGAUUUGUUUUGUAAUUUUAUUUAAAUUAAUAAGAUGAUUUAUAAUUAAAAUAUUGUACAUAUUGCCCCGGUCGCUUCAUGAGGAAAAAUAAAU